Molecule: ribosomal RNA, 530 nt
Filed under: Polymorphospora rubra
Lineage: Bacteria; Bacillati; Actinomycetota; Actinomycetes; Micromonosporales; Micromonosporaceae
Description: bacterial SSU rRNA
Rfam family: Bacterial small subunit ribosomal RNA
Source: RNAcentral
GAACGCUGGCGGCGUGCUUAACACAUGCAAGUCGAGCGGAAAGGCCCUUCGGGGUACUCGAGCGGCGAACGGGUGAGUAACACGUGAGUAACCUGCCCCAGGCUUUGGGAUAACCCUCGGAAACGGGGGCUAAUACCGGAUAUGACCUCCUGUCGCAUGGUGGGGGGUGGAAAGUUUUUCGGCUUGGGAUGGGCUCGCGGCCUAUCAGCUUGUUGGUGGGGUGAUGGCCUACCAAGGCGACGACGGGUAGCCGGCCUGAGAGGGCGACCGGCCACACUGGGACUGAGACACGGCCCAGACUCCUACGGGAGGCAGCAGUGGGGAAUAUUGCACAAUGGGCGGAAGCCUGAUGCAGCGACGCCGCGUGAGGGAUGACGGCCUUCGGGUUGUAAACCUCUUUCACCCAUGACGAAGCGCAAGUGACGGUAGUGGGAGAAGAAGCGCCGGCCAACUACGUGCCAGCAGCCGCGGUAAGACGUAGGGCGCGAGCGUUGUCCGGAUUUAUUGGGCGUAAAGAGCUCGUAGGCGGC